RNAcentral lists this ribosomal RNA (465 nucleotides) under Vreelandella stevensii. RNAcentral's name for it is "partial 16S ribosomal RNA". It matches the Rfam family "Bacterial small subunit ribosomal RNA", at positions 338 to 795 of the family's 1533-position model. Lineage: Bacteria; Pseudomonadati; Pseudomonadota; Gammaproteobacteria; Oceanospirillales; Halomonadaceae. The record is from RNAcentral.
CCUACGGGAGGCAGCAGUGGGGAAUAUUGGACAAUGGGGGCAACCCUGAUCCAGCCAUGCCGCGUGUGUGAAGAAGGCCCUCGGGUUGUAAAGCACUUUCAGUGAGGAAGAACGCCUGGUGGUUAAUACCCAUCAGGAAAGACAUCACUCACAGAAGAAGCACCGGCUAACUCCGUGCCAGCAGUCGCGGUAAUACGGAGGGUGCGAGCGUUAAUCGGAAUUACUGGGCGUAAAGCGCGCGUAGGUGGCUUGAUAAGCCGGGUGUGAAAGCCCCGGGCUCAACCUGGGAACGGCAUCCGGAACUGUCAAGCUAGAGUGCAGGAGAGGAAGGUAGAAUUCCCGGUGUAGCGGUGAAAUGCGUAGAGAUCGGGAGGAAUACCAGUGGCGAAGGCGGCCUUCUGGACUGACACUGACACUGAGGUGCGAAAGCGUGGGUAGCAAACAGGAUUAGAUACCCCUGUAGUC